CAUCAUUGGUUUCAGUCCACAAAACCAUCUUCAUUCUCUUCAUCUUCAUAUUGCUACAUUCAUCCUCUCCAAAACAAUCUCAAAUUCAAACCUAAAUUUUUAGAUCAACUUUCCUCAAUCGAGAUUUUAUAUCACCAAAACAAUUAAAAUAACCAUAAAAACCCUUCCUUCUAUGAGUUGCAUCCCUCACUUGAAUGUCCUAGAGACGAGAUUGAGCCGUGAAACCCAUCUUCCACACAAAUUCCCUUUUCUCUAGGAUCCGACAUGGGGUCUGAGAGCACGUUCGGCGAAAGCAUUUGUAGUGGAACGAAUUCGACCAUAAAAACUUUUUUUCCUUAUGGUAUUCACCCUUUUAGGUGAUCCCCUCACUUCUGGUUCGACAAUCGAACCCUUACUUCUAUCAGAGAUGAGAUUGAUCUGGGUUUGGGGCUGGGGUUGAGGUGGCUUAGAUUUGUGCCCCCCCUCUCUCUCUCUCUCUCUCUCUCUCUCUCUCUCUCUCUCUCUCUCUCUCUCUCUCGUCUCUAAAACCUCUCUCUGAUCUCUUUCUCUUGAUGGGUUUGUUGGAAGAUUGGCGGUGGGGUGGGGGAUUUGGUGGACAAUGAGAGUGGGGGUGGGGCGAGGGUUGCGAUGGGGGUUGUUCUUGGUGAGAAGGGAAGGAGAAUUAGGGAGUUUACCUGAAUUGCACAUAAGAGGUUCAAGUUUCCUAAGAAUAACGUGGAACUAUAUGCUGAGAAGGUGAAUAGCAGAGGCCUUUGUGAUGAGUCACUUUGCUACAAGCUCCUUGGUGGCUUUGCUGUACACAUGGCUUGUUAUGGUUUUUUGAUAUUUGUUAUGGAAAGUGGUGCUAAGGGAUGUGAGGUAAACGUCAGUGGAAAAUUGAGGGCCAAGAGGGCCAAAUCAAUGAAGUUCAAGGAUGGGUACAUGAUUUCUUAUGGCCAACCACUCAAUAAUUACAAUGAAUCUGUAGUGAGACAUAUUCUCCUUAGACAGGUUUGCUUCUUUUCUUCAUAUAUACCUUGUAGAAUGUCAUUAUGUGCAACCAUUUUUAAGUUGUUGAUUCAUUCUAUUUUUUUCUGAGUGCUAGUCCUAAUCAUUUUUUGCAUUACUGUUUCGUAUGGUGUUUUUGGUAUCAAUGUGAAGAUCAUGCUCGAUUAGGAUCCUAAAGGUAAACAUGGUCCCAAAACCCCCUCCUGAAUAUUGUCACAAUCCAUACUCCAAAGUAAUCUUUGUAGCUCGAUUGCGACAUGAUUUCGGCUGUUGUCUUUGGAAAAUGAUAUUGAGCUUCCUGUUGCUCGAAAAAUGUUUUGUAUCUCAGCGCCUACUUUUGCUUGCAUGAGGUGUUUUGUUGUCAAAAACUUGUUCAAGAUUUUUAUAGUUUCAUUAACAAUUUUAGACUUAAAUAUGUUUUUGUCCCUCUAAUUAUAUCUAGUAUUGGUUAUGGUCUCUUUUUUUUGAGCUUCAAAUUUUUUUUGGCAUGAAGAUGAAGAUGAAAAUUUGGAUUCUUUUGAUGAAGAAGAUCAAGAUUUGAGUUUUAUGUGAAGUAGAUGAAGAUGAAAAAAAAUUGAGAUUCUGUACCAGGAAUAAUCAAUGGCUUAUUAAGAAGGGGUAGUGAUAAGGAAGACAUUUGAACACCAUUAAAGGUGUUUGAUUGUGUUUGUGCUUGUGGAGAACACCGAUGGAUAGUUUGAGUGGCUGAAACAUUUCCAAGGAGGUUUGAGGUUGGAGUAUUUACAUCCUUAAGUUUCUCAAACUUUGAGGAUUCUAGUUUUUUGGCAGCAAACUUUUGAACGGCUGGUCCUUGAUCUUCCACAAACUUAAAUAAACUAUCUUUGUAAUUACUAGGAUCGUUGUUCAGCUGCAACGACAACGUGAAAUAUGAAUAGAAUUAUUGUUUUAUCUAAAGAUAUAAAAUUACAAGUUCAUAUUUCUAUUUCUAGAUUACCCACUUAUGUGAUUUUUUUGGUGGAAAAACUUACUUGAAUGUUUGGCUUGUCUGAGUUAAAAAACUCUGAAACCAAAGUCUUUUCUCUUGGAGGCCAAUACAUGUUCCUCUUAUUUUUUCCAAGAAUGGUAGUUACAUUGCGAACUUGUCUUCCUUCCUGCAUAAGAUUUGAAAUGGUAUGGAAAAUUGAAGAGAUCAACAAAUUACAAAACAUGCAA
Molecule: long non-coding RNA, 2160 nt
Organism: Lotus japonicus
Lineage: Eukaryota; Viridiplantae; Streptophyta; Magnoliopsida; Fabales; Fabaceae
Exons: 3
Source: RefSeq, a predicted model, not a curated record